This 2552-nucleotide small RNA is filed under the name Pongo abelii (Sumatran orangutan). RNAcentral describes it as "processed transcript". The record is from RNAcentral. Lineage: Eukaryota; Metazoa; Chordata; Mammalia; Primates; Hominidae.
GAGCUCUUUCAUGGGGUCGAGUUGUUUAGAGGACUUGAUAGUCCUAGCAGCUUCUCUGGCCUUUUUGUGCCUCACUUUUCAGAGCCCAGUGUCGUUCUUUUCUCUGGAGUCAGGAAGCCCCUCCAGAAUUUUUUAUUUUUUUUCCCACUGACCAAGGUCCAGAACAGGGAGUGUGGACACAGGAAUCAAGGAAUGUUCUGCAGUGGGCUGUCUUCUAACUUCCUGAUAUAGACGUCCAGCAUGCCUUGCUGAUUGAUGAUGUUCAUGGAGAUGAAGCCAUCCUUUCAGGACCAUGGUGUGCCUGAAAUGACACCGCAUUCUGUCGGAUCAGCUGGCGCCACCCAGACCAGAAAUCUGACUCAACUAGUUCAGGAACUGAAGACAGAAAGAACUACCCCUUCACUCCAGAGACGGGGUUUCACCAUGUUGCCCAGGCUGGUCUUGAAGAACUGUUGAGCUCAAGCAGUCCACCUACCUUGGCCUCCCAAAGUGCUGGGAUUACAGGUAUCACGGUUACAUUUAUACAUACCGAGUGUCCCAGACAGAAACAGGUUCUUGGAGUGCUGAGACAGCACCUGGGGUACAUAAAAGAUAUUUCCGGAAAAUAAAAAAUCUCAUUUCAGCAUUUCAGAAGCCAGAUCAAGGCAUUGUAAUACCUCUGCAGUAUCCAGUUGAGAAGAAGUCCUCAGCUAGAAGUACACAAGGUACUACAGGGAUAAGAGAAGAUCCUGAUGUCUGCCUGAAAGCCCCAUGAAGAAAAAUAAAACACCUUGUACUUUAUUUUCUAUAAUUUAAAUAUAUGCUAAGUCUUAUAUAUUGUAGAUAAUACAGUUCGGUGAGCUACAAAUGCAUUUCUAAAGCCAUUGUAGUCCUGUAAUGGAAGCAUCUAGCAUGAUGUCAAAGCUGAAAUGGACUUUUGUACAUAGUGAGGAGCUUUGAAAUGAGGAUUGGGAAAAAGUAAUUCCAUAGGUUAUUUUCAGUUAUUAUAUUUACAAAUGGGAAACAAUUUAAAGGAUAAUGAAUACUUUGUAAAGGAUUAAUGUCAAUUCUUGCCAAAUAUAAAUAAAAAUAAUCCUCAGUUUUUGUGAAAAGCUCCAUUUUUAGUGAAAUAUUAUUUUAUAGUUACUAAUUUUAAAAUAUCUUGCUUGAUUGUAUGGUGGGAAGUUGGCUGGUGUCCCUUGUCUUUGCCAAGUUCUCCACUAGCUAUGGUGUCAUAGGCUCUUUUGGGAUUUUUGAAGCUGUAUACUGUGUGCUAAAACAAGCACUAGAAAAAGAGUGAAGGAUUUAUGUUUAAUUCUGAAAACAACCUUCUUGCCUAGCGUUCUGAUGUUGGACAGUAAAAUCCACAGACCAACCUGGAGUUGCAAAUCUUAUAAUUUAAAAUAUGCUCUAAACAUGUUUAUCGUAUUUGAUGCUACAGGAUUUGAAAUUGUAUUACAAAUCCAAUGAAAUGAGUUUUUCUUUUCAUUUACCUCUGCCCCAGUUGUUUCUACUACAUGGAAGACCUCAUUUUGAAGGGAAACUUCAGCAGCUGCAGCUCAUGAAUAACUGAUUUGUAACCAGCCUCCUUUUAAAGUAACCCUACAAAACCACUGGAAAGUUUAUGGUUAUAUUAUUUUUUUAAAAAAUUCCAAGUGAUUGAAACCUACAUGAGAGUCAGAAUUUUAUGCGGCAUUUUCUUCUCACAUUUAUAUUUUUGUGAUUUUGUGAUUGAUUAUAUGUCACUCUGCUACAGGGCUCACAGAAUUCAUUCACUCAACAAACAUAAUAGGGCGCUGAGGGCAUAGAAGUAAAAACACCUGGUCCCUGCUCUCAGUUCACUGUCUUGUUGGACGAGAAAACAAUAACGAUAAAAGACAGUGAAAGAAAAUAACAAUAAAAGACGAGGAAAAAAUAACAAUGAAAGUUGAUAAGUACACGAUAAGUGAGGUUCCCCGUGUGUAGGUAGAUCUGGUCUUUAGAGGCAGAUAGACCUGGUCUUUAGAGGCAGAACGAGUCAGUGCAAAUACUCUGGUCCAUGGGCCAUAUGAAAAGGCUAAGCUUCACUGUAAAAUAAUAACUUGGAAUUCUGGGUUGUGUAUGAGUGUUGGUGAACUUGGUUUUAAUUAGUGAACUGCUGAGAGACAGAGCUACUCUCCAUGUACUGGCAAGACCUGAUUUCUGAGCAUUUAAUAUGGAUGCUGUGGGAGUACAAAAGUGGAGUGUGACCUGAGUAAUGCAUUAUGGGUGAUUUACCAUUUCUUGAGGUAAAAGCAUCACGUUAACUUGUAAAGGAAUUUAGAAAUCCUACUUUCAUAAUAAGUUGCAUAGGUUUAAUAAUUUUAAAUUAUAUGCCUUGAGUUUAAAUUGUAAUAGGUGUAACUAAUUUUAACUCUAUAAUGUGUUCAUUCUGGAAUAAUCCUAAACAUAUGAAUUAUGUUUGCAUGUUCACUUCCAAGAACCUUUUUUUGAAAAAAAGCUUUUUUUGAAUCAUCAAGUCUUUCACAUUUAAAUAAAGUGUUUGAAAGCUUUAUUUACCUAAUUUGUCUUGAAAUAUUCCUUAUAAUUCCUUA